This is a non-coding RNA of Kwoniella sp. CBS 6097, 76 nucleotides long. The record is from the annotation of a GenBank genome assembly. NCBI's taxonomy places the organism in Eukaryota, Fungi, Basidiomycota, Tremellomycetes, Tremellales, Cryptococcaceae.
CAGGUGGAAGUCUAUUUGGUAGGACGCUCGCUUUGGGUGCGAGUUUGUGCAGGUUCGAGCCCUGCUCACCUGACAA